Molecule: ribosomal RNA, 497 nt
Filed under: uncultured bacterium
Lineage: Bacteria
Description: partial 16S ribosomal RNA
Rfam family: Bacterial small subunit ribosomal RNA
Source: RNAcentral
GAUGAACGCUGGCGGCGUGCUUAAUACAUGCAAGUCGAGCGAACAGACGCGGCGCUUGCUCCUCUGACGUUAGCGGCGGACGGGUGAGUAACACGUGGAUAACCUCCCUAUCAGUCUGGGAUCACUUCGGGACACCGGAGCUUAUACCGGAUAAUAUAUUGAACCGUACGGUUCAUUAGUGAAUGACGGUUUUUCUGUCACUUAUAGAUGGAUCCCCGCCGCAUUAGCUAGUUGGUACGGUAACGGCUUACCAAGGCAACGAUGCGUAGCCGACCUGAGAGGGGGGUAGGCGACACUAGAGGGGAGACGCGAUCAAGACGACUAAGAGAGGCAGCAGUAGGGAAGCGUAGGCAAUGGGCGAAAACAUGACGGAGCAGCGGCGCGUGAGUGGUGAAGGUCUUCGGAGCGUAAAAAUCUGUUAUGAGGGGAGAACAAAUGUGGAAGUAGCUGUGCACGGAUUGACGGUACCUGGUAAGAAAGCCGCGGCUAACUACGUG